UCCUACGGGAGGCUGCAGUCGAGAAUAUUCGUCAAUGCGCGAAAGCGUGAACGAGCGACGCCGCGUGCGGGAUGAAGGCCUUCGGGUUGUAAACCGCUUUUGUAAGGGAAGAAUUUCGAUGACGGUACCUUACGAAUAAGAGGUUACUAACUCUGUGCCAGCAGUAGCGGUAAUACAGAGACCUCAAGCGUUAUCCGGAUUUAUUGGGCGUAAAGAGCUGGUAGGUGGUUAUGUUAGUCAGAUGUCAAAUCUCGGGGCUCAACUCCGAAACUGCAUUUGAAACGGCAUAACUAGAGGGUGUGAGAGAUCUAUGGAACUCAUGGUGUAGCAGUGAAAUGCGUUGAUAUCAUGAGGAACACCAAAGGCGAAGGCAUUAGAUUGGCACACUCCUGACACUGAGCAGCGAAAGCGUGGGUAGCGAAUGGGAUUAGAUACCCUAGUAGUC
This 445-nucleotide ribosomal RNA is filed under the name uncultured bacterium. RNAcentral's name for it is "bacterial SSU rRNA". It matches the Rfam family "Bacterial small subunit ribosomal RNA", at positions 337 to 795 of the family's 1533-position model. The record is from RNAcentral.